This 504-nucleotide ribosomal RNA is filed under the name uncultured bacterium. RNAcentral describes it as "partial 16S ribosomal RNA". It matches the Rfam family "Bacterial small subunit ribosomal RNA", at positions 28 to 523 of the family's 1533-position model. The record is from RNAcentral.
GACGAACGCUGGCGGCGUGCUUAACACAUGCAAGUCGAACGGUGAAAGCGGAGCUUGCUCCGCUGGAUCAGUGGCGAACGGGUGAGUAACACGUGGGCAACCUGCCCCUCACUUCGGGAUAACUCCGGGAAACCGGGGCUAAUACCGGAUAUGACCUCCUUGGGCAUCCUUGGAGGUGGAAAGUUUUUCGGUGAGGGAUGGGCCCGCGGCCUAUCAGCUUGUUGGUGAGGUAGUGGCUCACCAAGGCGACGACGGGUAGCCGGCCUGAGAGGGCGACCGGCCACACUGGGACUGAGACACGGCCCAGACUCCUACGGGAGGCAGCAGUAGGGAAUCUUCCGCAAUGGACGAAAGUCUGACGGAGCAACGCCGCGUGAGUGAUGAAGGCUUUCGGGUCGUAAAACUCUGUUGUUAGGGAAGAACAAGUGCUAGUUGAAUAAGCUGGCACCUUGACGGUACCUAACCAGAAAGCACCGGCUAACUUCGUGCCAGCAGCCGCGGUAA